Molecule: small nucleolar RNA, 109 nt
Organism: Nycticebus coucang (slow loris)
Lineage: Eukaryota; Metazoa; Chordata; Mammalia; Primates; Lorisidae
Product: small nucleolar RNA U13
Exons: 1
Source: RefSeq, a predicted model, not a curated record
AUCCUUUUGUAAUUCAUAGAUGUGAAGACUGGAUUUUCACAUGCAUGCAUGUUUAAGAGGUGUCUCCCUCAAAUCUUAUUACAAAUGUUGGCACAUUACCUGUCUGAUA